This 355-nucleotide long non-coding RNA is filed under the name Ananas comosus (pineapple). RNAcentral describes it as "long non-coding RNA (ACOM_LNC025859)". The record is from RNAcentral. Lineage: Eukaryota; Viridiplantae; Streptophyta; Magnoliopsida; Poales; Bromeliaceae.
ACCAAUGUCCUCCAAAACUGAAUAUUUACUGCCCAGUCCCUCACAAUGCGUGUAUUACGCGUGUACGCACCUCGAUAAUUAAUCUCACGCGAUUCGGUACAUAAAAUAUUAGAUCUUUUCGCGAUUUAACCGUUUUGCCAAAACCGACCUCUCCUCGAUCAACGCGCAAUCUCCGCAGAUCCGUCCGUCAGAUUUGCGAACGGAUUGCACCAGUGCAAUCAGCACGACGGAGACAACAAAGCUGCGAUUUCGUUUCACCUUGAUUGACCACGGAUUCACGACACAAUCCAAUCUUUCUUUCCAACAGAAGAAAUAACACAUAAAUACAUAUAAAACAUGUAUUUUUGGAUUUUCU